GUGUGUGUGUGUGUGUAUGUGUGUCUAUAUGUAUAUCUAUAUGUAUAUAUAUAUGUAUAUAUAUAUAUAUAUAUAUGUAUGUAUGUUUGUAUGUAUGUAUUUAUAUGUAUAUAUAUAUCUAUAUGUAUAUAUAUUUGUAUAUAUAUAGAUAGAUAUAUUAGAUGUGGUAUUGCAGUUAUUCUAACCAUUCAGCGAUUGGUUUCAUCAAUACAGGGAAUUCUAAUACUUGUGGAUUUCUAUGUCUAGGUUGGAUGUGCUAGAUGUUGUUGAUGUUGGUUUUCUAUAAGCAUAUUUCGAUAUUGGUUCACUUCUCUACUUUGAUGCUGGGCUUUGUGUUUCUCUUAGCUAACUUUGCUAUAUUACUAUUGUGAUGUAACUAAAUACGGAAUUCUAUCCUAUCAACUCAUUAUAUGUUUCUGUAUAUUGGGAAGGCUUUUAUACACUUCGAUUCUCUAUUAC
Molecule: long non-coding RNA, 459 nt
Filed under: Elaeis guineensis (African oil palm)
Lineage: Eukaryota; Viridiplantae; Streptophyta; Magnoliopsida; Arecales; Arecaceae
Description: long non-coding RNA (EGUI_LNC027989)
Source: RNAcentral